UACGUAGGUGGCAAGCGUUAUCCGGAAUUAUUGGGCGUAAAGCGCGCGCAGGUGGUUUCUUAAGUCUGAUGUGAAAGCCCACGGCUCAACCGUGGAGGGGCAUUGGAAACUGGGAGACUUGAGUGCAGAAGAGGAAAGUGGAAUUCCAUGUGUAGCGGUGAAAUGCGUAGAGAUAUGGAGGAACACCAGUGGCGAAGGCGACUUUCUGGUCUGUAACUGACACUGAGGCGCGAAAGCGUGGGGAGCAAACAGG
Molecule: ribosomal RNA, 253 nt
Filed under: uncultured bacterium
Lineage: Bacteria
Description: partial 16S ribosomal RNA
Rfam family: Bacterial small subunit ribosomal RNA
Source: RNAcentral